AGAAAGAGGAGGAGGAGAAAGAGGAGGAGGAGGAGGAGGAAGCCUCUCCCCGGCGCGGCCGCCUGUCAGCGAGCUGAGAGCAGGGGAUUUCUGCGCCCCUGGGAGAGGGACCGCUCUGCCGGGAAACUCCCGGAAGCCCACCCCCGGGCCGGCACAGCACGCACCGCGGCUUCCUUAGGUGCCCUCAGCGAGCAGAAAGGAUUGUGCUAGAGAGCAAGCAACCCCGGGGGUUGAGCAAGAAAACUGCUUCAAAUACUGUUUGGAGGCAGCACUCAGACCUUAUUAUUUUCAACCAAGGAUUCCAAAGCUGCAACAUGGAAAACGACUCAAGGUAAGAUUUAUAAUAAAUAGAUAUCUGACCUCUCCCCCCAGACAGGCAGAGCUGGCAGCAUGUUCCCUCCUGGCAGGUAGAUGGCCUGGCAGAUACCACCUCCACGUGAAAGCACACACUUCUCUACGACUCUCCAGUGGUGGCCCAGUAAACCUCACCUGGCAGUUUCUACUCCGUUCAGUUGCAGCUGCUUUGUGGAACCAGUAUCUAUUGAAGGGAUUUGUCCACCUACUUCAGAGAGCUGGGCAUGAAUUAAAUAUUAAACAUUAUGGUGAGGCCCCAGGUUCAGAAUUAACAUUUCUUUUGGAAUCAUGUCUUCAAAACUAUUCUGAUCUUCAGCAAAUGUUGGUCCAACGUAACUUUUAACGACCACACUUGUAUUUGGGUUCCAAGAGUGCUUUUUUUUUUAGUAUUGCUGACAUUUAUCUGCAUCCUGAGCUGUAUCAAUUUUGUCUGGGAAUUUUGGAAAUGAUUCUGAAGUUCCAGUGAACGGUGCAUUAUAUUCAUAAAACAAGGAUGCCGCUGACCUUUCAGCACAAGAGAAUAGAUGAGAAUCAUGAACCUGAGACUCAUCUAACAGAACGCAGUGGAAACACAUAGGAUGAAAGGCUCUGAAGGCUUUACAAAUUAUAUUUGGAUGUGGGAGAGCAAGGAGAAAGAGAAUGUGGGAAAAAAGAAGAAUGAAAAAGGAUCCUGCUGUUUAGCUCAUGCAUAAACUGUAUGUGCUCAGCCAAAGGUCACUCCUUUUAUUUUCUCAUUAAUUUCAAUGACGGUAUAUAAAAAAUGAUCUAAAACUAAAAACAGCCAGAAACAGUUUGGGUUUUUCUGCAACAGUAUAGUGGGAUGUGAAACCUGAGCUGCAACUUCAUUCUGUAUCCUUUCUUUCGACUUUUUAAAAAGGAGUGACUUAAAGUUAAUUAUUUAAGAUGAACUGUAAAUUUAUGUAGAAAAAUGUAAGUGGUCUACUUCUGAUGUGUUUUCCAAGAAAAAUGCUCUACAACUUACCUGGAAGUAUAUGAGUUUAAAAAUGAGGGUUUUAUAGCCUGAGUGCAUUGAAAUUAUUUCAUUUCUGUUGUUGUUGUUGUUGUUGUUUUUUUAAUCCAGUGAUAUUGGUAAGAAAUGGUAUAGUUGGACACUUUUGAGGGUGAGUUGUCUAGGUACUAAACACAAGUGAGGCAAACAUUAAAUACUAGGCUCAGUUUUAAAAAGGGAAGGAAAAAAAGCAUUGGGUAGCCUGCAGGUACAUACAAACACUGGCACAAGGAAACUGCCACCCACAGCAGAUGAAAGUAGAAGACAGAGUGGGAAUAUAGAAGGAAUCAUGAAUAUUCUGCAGUGACGAUGGUGAAUGAGUGCCUCAAACAAAUCUUCAGAAAACAGGAGCCCUUCAUACAGAGAUUGAUGCUACAUCUGCCAACUUUUUUUUUUUUCAGAGAAUAAAAGAAAAAGCCAACAUCUACA
Molecule: long non-coding RNA, 1792 nt
Organism: Struthio camelus australis
Lineage: Eukaryota; Metazoa; Chordata; Aves; Struthioniformes; Struthionidae
Source: Ensembl